RNAcentral lists this long non-coding RNA (704 nucleotides) under Chrysemys picta bellii (western painted turtle). RNAcentral describes it as "lncRNA (ENSCPBG00000009982.1)". Lineage: Eukaryota; Metazoa; Chordata; Testudines; Emydidae. The record is from RNAcentral.
CGGCUGGCAGCAGCAGGAGGUGCCCGUCAAGGCGGACACGGUCAAGGUGGUCCAGGUGCAGCGGGAGCCGGAGAUCGCCGCCAGCACGGCCACGGGCGUGGCCCACCGGCCGCAGCGGGCGCAGAGCUUGGAGAGCAAGGAGCCCUACGCCAGCCUGCGGGCCCUGACGCUGGGCGAGCCGCCCCAGGCCGUGGUGGUGGAAACGGCCUUCCCCAUCCACGCCGCUGCGCCCCACGCCGCCCCCAUCCACGGCGUCAAGAAGAUCAGCAUCGCGGCUGAACCCGGCGGGGAGGAGACGGGCCCGGGCGGUGGAGCCUCCCCAGCCUCGGCUCAGGGGGGUGUCAGAUCUGGCACGAAGAGGCAGGAGGAGGCCCCAGAGCUGGUGGGCAAGAAAAGUCUCCAGUUUGUGGGCAUCAACGGCGGGUACGAGUCCACCUCCUCGGGUUCCAGCACGGCGGAGAACUCCUCCGACAACGAGAGCACAGAGAGCGAGUACCAUGAGGCCAGCGAGGGGCCCCCUGCGGGGCAGACGGAGACCCCCAGGCCCCCGGCGACGGCCCCCCAGAGAGUCCCUGCGGAGAGCGACACGGCGACGGCAGGGGAACCCCCCAGAGCGGCACCAGGGAGCGGCACUGGGUAACUCUACAGGGGUCUGCGCCUUCGUGCAAGGGGAGUGGGGUCUAGUGGCUAGAGCAGGGGAGUGG